CCCUUAUCCUUUGUUGCCAGCGAUCCGGCCGGGAACUCAAAGGAGACUGCCAGUGAUAAACUGGAGGAAGGUGGGGAUGACGUCAAGUCAUCAUGGCCCUUACGAGUAGGGCUACACACGUGCUACAAUGGCGCAUACAAAGAGAAGCGAACUCGCGAGAGCAAGCGGACCUCAUAAAGUGCGUCGUAGUCCGGAUCGGAGUCUGCAACUCGACUCCGUGAAGUCGGAAUCGCUAGUAAUCGUGGAUCAGAAUGCCACGGUGAAUACGUU
This 270-nucleotide ribosomal RNA is filed under the name Enterobacter hormaechei. Its description in RNAcentral is "partial 16S ribosomal RNA". It matches the Rfam family "Bacterial small subunit ribosomal RNA", at positions 1102 to 1372 of the family's 1533-position model. Lineage: Bacteria; Pseudomonadati; Pseudomonadota; Gammaproteobacteria; Enterobacterales; Enterobacteriaceae. The record is from RNAcentral.